GAGGGUAUAGCUCAGUGGUAGAGGCACAUGCUUAGCAUGCAUGAAGUCCCGGGUUCAAUUCCCUGGUACCUCCA
Molecule: transfer RNA, 74 nt
Filed under: Camelus ferus (Wild Bactrian camel)
Lineage: Eukaryota; Metazoa; Chordata; Mammalia; Artiodactyla; Camelidae
Rfam family: tRNA
About the family: Transfer RNA (tRNA) molecules are approximately 80 nucleotides in length. Their secondary structure includes four short double-helical elements and three loops (D, anti-codon, and T loops). Further hydrogen bonds mediate the characteristic L-shaped molecular structure. tRNAs have two regions of fundamental functional importance: the anti-codon, which is responsible for specific mRNA codon recognition, and the 3' end, to which the tRNAs corresponding amino acid is attached (by aminoacyl-tRNA synthetases). tRNAs cope with the degeneracy of the genetic code in two manners: having more than one tRNA (with a specific anti-codon) for a particular amino acid; and 'wobble' base-pairing, i.e. permitting non-standard base-pairing at the 3rd anti-codon position.
Source: Rfam by way of RNAcentral